RNAcentral lists this ribosomal RNA (457 nucleotides) under uncultured bacterium. RNAcentral describes it as "bacterial SSU rRNA". It matches the Rfam family "Bacterial small subunit ribosomal RNA", at positions 340 to 786 of the family's 1533-position model. The record is from RNAcentral.
UACGGAAGGCAGCAGUGGGGAAUAUUGGACAAUGGGCGCAAGCCUGAUCCAGCCAUGCCGCGUGUGUGAAGAAGGCCUUCGGGUUGUAAAGCACUUUUGUCCGGAAAGAAAAGCUUAGGGUUAAUAACCUUGAGUCAUGACGGUACCGGAAGAAUAAGCACCGGCUAACUUCGUGCCAGCAGCCGCGGUAAUACGAAGGGUGCAAGCGUUACUCGGAAUUACUGGGCGUAAAGCGUGCGUAGGUGGUUUUGUUAAAGUCUGAUGUGAAAGCCCUGGGCUCAACCUGGGAAUGGCAUUGGAAACUGGCUUACUAGAGUGCGGUAGAGGGGUGUGGAAUUCCCGGUGUAGCAGUGAAAUGCGUAGAUAUCGGGAGGAACAUCUGUGGCGAAGGCGACACCCUGGGACCAGCACUGACACUGAGGCACGAAAGCGUGGGGAGCAAACAGGAUUAGAUACC